UACGUAGGUGGCAAGCGUUGUCCGGAUUUAUUGGGUUUAAAGGGUGCGUAGGCGGUCUAUUAAGUCAGCGGUGAAAUACUCCAGCUUAACUGGAGGGGUGCCAUUGAUACUGAUGGACUUGAGUCAAGUCGAGGUAGGCGGAAUUGACGGUGUAGCGGUGAAAUGCUUAGAUAUCGUCAAGAACACCAAUAGUGAAGACAGCUUACUGGGCUUAAACUGACGCUGAGGCACGAAAGUGUGGGGAUCGAACAGG
This 253-nucleotide ribosomal RNA is filed under the name uncultured bacterium. Its description in RNAcentral is "partial 16S ribosomal RNA". It matches the Rfam family "Bacterial small subunit ribosomal RNA", at positions 524 to 776 of the family's 1533-position model. The record is from RNAcentral.